AUUGAACGCUGGCGGCAGGCCUAACACAUGCAAGUCGAGCGGAUGAAGGGAGCUUGCUCCUGGAUUCAGCGGCGGACGGGUGAGUAAUGCCUAGGAAUCUGCCUGGUAGUGGGGGAUAACGUCCGGAAACGGGCGCUAAUACCACAUACGUCCUGAGGGAGAAAGUGGGGGAUCGUCGGACCUCACGCUAUCAGAUGAGCCUAGGUCGGAUUAGCUAGUUGGUGGGGUAAAGGCCUACCAAGGCGACGAUCCGUAACUGGUCUGAGAGGAUGAUCAGUCACACUGGAACUGAGACACGGUCCAGACUCCUACGGGAGGCAGCAGUGGGGAAUAUUGGACAAUGGGCGAAAGCCUGAUCCAGCCAUGCCGCGUGUGUGAAGAAGGUCUUCGGAUUGUAAAGCACUUUAAGUUGGGAGGAAGGGCAGUAAGUUAAUACCUUGCUGUUUUGACGUUACCAACAGAAUAAGCACCGGCUAACUUCGUG
RNAcentral lists this ribosomal RNA (484 nucleotides) under uncultured bacterium. Its description in RNAcentral is "partial 16S ribosomal RNA". It matches the Rfam family "Bacterial small subunit ribosomal RNA", at positions 30 to 507 of the family's 1533-position model. The record is from RNAcentral.